Molecule: ribosomal RNA, 1506 nt
Filed under: metagenome
Description: bacterial SSU rRNA
Rfam family: Bacterial small subunit ribosomal RNA
Source: RNAcentral
AGAGUUUGAUCAUGGCUCAGGACGAACGCUGGCGGCGUGCCUAAUACAUGCAAGUAGAACGCUGAAGAGAGGAGCUUGCUCUUCUUGGAUGAGUUGCGAACGGGUGAGUAUCGCGUAGGUAACCUGCCCUGUAGCGGGGGAUAACUAUUGGAAACGAUAGCUAAUACCGCAUAACAAUGGAUGACACAUGUCAUUUAUUUGAAAGGGGCAAUUGUUCCACUACAAGAUGGACCUGCGUUGUAUUAGCUAGUAGGUGAGGUAAUGGCUCACCUAGGCGACGAUACAUAGCCGACCUGAGAGGGUGAUCGGCCACACUGGGACUGAGACACGGCCCAGACUCCUACGGGAGGCAGCAGUAGGGAAUCUUCGGCAAUGGGGGCAACCCUGACCGAGCAACGCCGCGUGAGUGAAGAAGGUUUUCGGAUCGUAAAGCUCUGUUGUAAGUCAAGAACGGGUGUGAGAGUGGAAAGUUCACACUGUGACGGUAGCUUACCAGAAAGGGACGGCUAACUACGUGCCAGCAGCCGCGGUAAUACGUAGGUCCCGAGCGUUGUCCGGAUUUAUUGGGCGUAAAGCGAGCGCAGGCGGUUUGAUAAGUCUGAAGUUAAAGGCUGUGGCUCAACCAUAGUUCGCUUUGGAAACAGUCAAACUUGAGUGCAGAAGGGGAGAGUGGAAUUCCAUGUGUAGCGGUGAAAUGCGUAGAUAUAUGGAGGAACACCGGUGGCGAAAGCGGCUCUCUGGUCUGUAACUGACGCUGAGGCUCGAAAGCGUGGGGAGCGAACAGGAUUAGAUACCCUGGUAGUCCACGCCGUAAACGAUGAGUGCUAGGUGUUGGAUCCUUUCCGGGAUUCAGUGCCGCAGCUAACGCAUUAAGCACUCCGCCUGGGGAGUACGACCGCAAGGUUGAAACUCAAAGGAAUUGACGGGGGCCCGCACAAGCGGUGGAGCAUGUGGUUUAAUUCGAAGCAACGCGAAGAACCUUACCAGGUCUUGACAUCCCGAUGCUAUUUCUAGAGAUAGAAAGUUACUUCGGUACAUCGGUGACAGGUGGUGCAUGGUUGUCGUCAGCUCGUGUCGUGAGAUGUUGGGUUAAGUCCCGCAACGAGCGCAACCCCUAUUGUUAGUUGCCAUCAUUCAGUUGGGCACUCUAGCGAGACUGCCGGUAAUAAACCGGAGGAAGGUGGGGAUGACGUCAAAUCAUCAUGCCCCUUAUGACCUGGGCUACACACGUGCUACAAUGGUUGGUACAACGAGUUGCGAGUCGGUGACGGCGAGCUAAUCUCUUAAAGCCAAUCUCAGUUCGGAUUGUAGGCUGCAACUCGCCUACAUGAAGUCGGAAUCGCUAGUAAUCGCGGAUCAGCACGCCGCGGUGAAUACGUUCCCGGGCCUUGUACACACCGCCCGUCACACCACGAGAGUUUGUAACACCCGAAGUCGGUGAGGUAACCUUUUGGAGCCAGCCGCCUAAGGUGGGACAGAUGAUUGGGGUGAAGUCGUAACAAGGUA